Molecule: ribosomal RNA, 326 nt
Filed under: uncultured bacterium
Lineage: Bacteria
Description: bacterial SSU rRNA
Rfam family: Bacterial small subunit ribosomal RNA
Source: RNAcentral
UGAGGAAUAUUGGGUCAAUGGGCGCAAGCCUGAACCAGCCAAGUAGCGUGAGGGAAGACUGCCCUACGGGUUGUAAACCUCUUUUGUUUGGGAAUAAAGUGCGGGACGCGUCCCGCAUUGCAUGUACCAUUUGAAUAAGGACCGGCUAAUUCCGUGCCAGCAGCCGCGGUAAUACGGAAGGUCCGGGCGUUAUCCGGAUUUAUUGGGUUUAAAGGGAGCGCAGGCCGUGGGUUAAGCGUGUCGUGAAAUUCCGUCGCUCAACGGCGGACGUGCGGCGCGAACUGGUCCACUUGAGUACGCGGGACGUUGGCGGAAUUCGUGGUGUA